GAUGAACGCUGGCGGCGUGCUUAACACAUGCAAGUCGAACGAUGAAGCCCAGCUUGCUGGGUGGAUUAGUGGCGAACGGGUGAGUAACACGUGAGUAACCUGCCCUUGACUCUGGGAUAAGCCCGGGAAACUGGGUCUAAUACCGGAUAGGAGCGCCUGUCGCAUGACGGGUGUUGGAAAGAUUUUUCGGUCAUGGAUGGACUCGCGGCCUAUCAGCUUGUUGGUGAGGUAAUGGCUCACCAAGGCGACGACGGGUAGCCGGCCUGAGAGGGUGACCGGCCACACUGGGACUGAGACACGGCCCAGACUCCUACGGGAGGCAGCAGUGGGGAAUAUUGCACAAUGGGCGGAAGCCUGAUGCAGCGACGCCGCGUGAGGGAUGACGGCCUUCGGGUUGUAAACCUCUUUCAGUGGGGAAGAAGCGAAAGUGACGGUACCUGCAGAAGAAGCACCGGCUAACUACGUG
RNAcentral lists this ribosomal RNA (466 nucleotides) under uncultured bacterium. RNAcentral describes it as "partial 16S ribosomal RNA". It matches the Rfam family "Bacterial small subunit ribosomal RNA", at positions 28 to 507 of the family's 1533-position model. The record is from RNAcentral.